GGGGCGGUGGAGGCGGGAGACGCCGGCGGCGGCUGCUGAGCGUCCCCGGGAGGAGGCGCCCGGCCGCGGCCAUGGACCGGUACCUGCUGUUCGUGAGCUGGGAGGAGCGGAGAGCCCCGCGGGGCGGCGGCGCCGAGCGCGUAGCAGGUAUAACUGCUGCAAAUGUUUAUAACCUUCUGAAAGAAAAUUGUAGAACCUUUAUAAAUGAGGAUGUAAGCACGUUCCCAGCAUGUUCUGUGGCUGGUGUUCCAGGUAUGAGGAAAUGGUAUUUUGCAAAUCAAGUUAUAUAUGAUUUCUAUCAGUUUUGUAGUUCUGACUGGGAGGAGAUCAAUAUUGACAUGGAGAAAGAUGAAAAUGAAAACUCUCUCCAAACCAGUAUAGAAGAAUGCCUGGGUGCUAUUCAGAGUUUUGAGGAGGAAGACAGUAGCAGCAGAGAGUCACUGUCACUGAUAGAUGUCUAUGAAGAAUCUGCAGAGAGUCUACAUCAGUUAUCGGACAAGCUCCCUGCUCCUGGAAGAGCCAUGGUUGAUGUAAUACUACAGUCUGCUGAAAGAGAUGCCCCCAAGUUAAAAGACUGCUUACCUGCUGUUGGUGCCCUGAAACAUCUGAAAGAAUGGCAUUCUGCAAAAAUCACUAUAGCAACAAAUGACUAUAAAGGUAGCUGGCAAAAAAUUGCAGACUACCUAUCAGCAGAUGUUGUGGCUUCAGAUAAUCUAAUAAAUAUUAUUGAUUCAAAAGAGCUGUGGAGAGGAGAGAUUCAGAUAUGGGAAAGAAAGUUUGGAUUUGAAGUUAGGUUUCCAAAAUUUUGUAUAAAGAGUGUCUCAGCCAAGCCUUUCAGCACAUCGUAUUUGAAUACUUGCUUCACUGCCAAGAAAACAGCACAAUCAAAGACUACUAAUAUUUUGCCAGAGGUUUUUCAUUAUUAUGGUCCUGUGUUAGAAUUCAUGCGGCUGGUGAUGCUCUCAGAUCUGCCAUCCUAUUUUGUAUCAGAUCUUGAAUUUGAGCUGAACUUGACAAGAAACAAUAUCAAUGAAAAGUCUACACUGCUUUUGGACCAGAUUUCUUCUCUCUGUGAAAAGGUAGGCGCCUUAUUUGUUUUGCCUUGCAAUGUAAGCAACAUGUUGAUUCCCUCUCCUGGCCAGCUGAGUACAAAAAAAUGGAAGGAACAUAUGGCCAAAAAACCGAAGGUCAUAACCAUUCCAGAAGUUGAGCUAAAAGGAGAGUCUUGCCAAUAUUAUUUCUUGGUACAAAGCAAUGGCUUUGGAGGGUGUAAAGCAACUUGGAUUCAUUCAGCCAAUCAGAUCAAUGGCACAGCCACUCUUGCUUUAAUAAAUGGAAAGCUACAGACAAGCACAGAAGAAACACAGUCAAGCCUUUGUACUGGUGACUUCAUCAGUUCUCUUCCACAUUUCUAUGGAGAGCAGAUACUACAGAGAGAAAAGAAACUGGCUAAUGUCCAAGCAUUUGCCUUGAAGGAAUGUCUCAAGAGGCGGGAAUCGGGCGAGCAACCUUCAACUGUUUCUGCUGAUGAGCUCAAAACACUGUUAACACUUACUAGGGAACGUUUUUUAGAGUUGUAUGACACCAGCUUUCCAAAAACUAUUCUGCACAAAGCAAUCAACGAAACUAAUCCCAUCACAAUGACUAGUGAAUCUGAAUUAAUAGCACCCAAUCCUUUGGAGUGGCCAGAAAGAAGUGUUCUUCAGAACUUGGAAAAUUUUGAAAAAAUUAAACAAAAAAUGAGAGUUUCUAUGUUGGCGCAUUCCUCUGAGCAAUUACUGGGCCAUAAAGAUGGUCAGAGGGAAUCACUGACAUUGCUUGAUGCUAAAGAGCUACUGAAAUAUUUCACUCCAGAGGGGUUACCUAUUGGAGAUCUUCAGCCAUUACAGAUUCAAAAGAGUGAAAAUGCUUUUCUUCUGACGCCAGAGCUUACUCCACGAAAGCUGGGAGGUCUGUCUUUUGAAAAAGCAGCUGGGUGCCAUUAUCAUGGGCUUGAAUACUGUCUAGAUAACAGAAAAGCUUUAGAGAGAGAUGUGAAAUUUGCUGAACUUCAGACUCGUCUUAUUCGCUAUGAAACACAGACUACCUGUACUAAAGAGUGCUGUCCUGUACCAUGUGUCUUGAGCCCUCUUCCGUCUCCUGCAGUUUUGUCAGAGCCUGGAAGUGUCCCCGAUGGGGAAUCUUUACAAAGUGAACUCAGAACAGAAUCAUCAAGGCUAAAACGCAGAUCAAAAGACUUGGAUUGCUUUUAUCCCAACAAGAGACUAAUAAAAACUGAAAGCACAGAUUCUCUCAUGUCUCAGGCAAGCGGAAGUAGUGUGGGUCACCAUUCGGGCGGUGUCAUAAGACAACAGCCAGGCAGAUCAUUGUCUCUAACGUCUGCAUCUGUUAAGCAGCCUAGUGAUCAGGCCAACAAAGUAACUGCAGAGGCUGGCCCAGCAAGUCAGAGAUGUGUGCAAGAGUCAGAAACUUCAAAGCCAAUUAAGGAAUCAAGAUCUCAGAAACAUAUACGGAUGCUGACAGAAGUGGUUGCUAAAACACUUAAGAAACACGGCAUUGCAGAGAACCACAAAUGCUUUGCAUCAUGCAGCCAGCGUCUGUUUGAGAUAUCCAAGUUCUAUUUAAAGAAUCUAAUCUAAACACUGAUUGCAGAGGUUUCAAAAACUUUCCCUCACUUAUAUAAAGCUUUAGGAGACCAUUAUGUUUCUCUUGUGACAAUGAAGAGCACGUUCAUUGUUCUGGACAAAACCCAUUGAUUACAAGGAUCUGAAAACUUCCAGGGGGCUGUUUGAUGAAAUGAAGAAAACAGCAAACAACAAUGCUAAACAGGUGAUUGAAUGGGUUUUGGAAAAGACUAACAAGUAAUGAUGAUGAAUCAUUACAUAUGAACGGAAUUUACACCCUCUUCUCCAACUUCACAGAAAAAGCACAGUGCGUUACAACAAAAGUAUAAAGCCAGGUAACAGGAACAAAACAGACCUUAAAAAACUUGGUUCAUAGACUUAAUUCCCUAAUCCAAUACUGUGUUAUGGCCUUUAGAUAUUUUAUAUUGAGUUUUUAUUAAAAAAAAAAUCUGUAAUGAACAUUGCAUUUUAUACUAUAUGCCUAUUUAUAGAUUUAAUUAUCUAAAAGACUGUGACUUAGAUUUUUCAGAAACAUUUUUAUAUGUGUUGUACAGAUUUUAUUUUAGAUGUAAUAAAAAA
RNA transcript from Mauremys mutica (yellowpond turtle), 3203 nucleotides. It is a transcript of the gene named MDM2 binding protein, with no coding region annotated. The record is from RefSeq and is a predicted model, not a curated record. The transcript is spliced from 23 exons. NCBI's taxonomy places the organism in Eukaryota, Metazoa, Chordata, Testudines, Geoemydidae.